Molecule: ribosomal RNA, 428 nt
Filed under: uncultured bacterium
Lineage: Bacteria
Description: partial 16S ribosomal RNA
Rfam family: Bacterial small subunit ribosomal RNA
Source: RNAcentral
GUAGGGAAUAUUGCGCAAUGGACGAAAGUCUGACGCAGCGACGCCGCGUGAGUGAUGAAGGCCUUAGGGUCGUAAAGCUCUGUUGAAUGGGAAGAAAAAAAUGACGGUACCAUUCGAGGAAGGACCGGCUAACUUCGUGCCAGCAGCCGCGGUAAUACGAGGGGUCCUAGCGUUGUUCGGAAUCAUUGGGCGUAAAGGGUGUGUAGGUGGCCAUGUAAGUCAGGUGUGAAAGCCCCGGGCUCAACCCGGGAAGUGCACUUGAUACUGCGUGGCUUGAGUACCGAAGAGAGUAGUGGAAUUCCAGGUGUAGUGGUGAAAUACGUAGAUAUCUGGAGGAACACCGGUGGCGAAGGCGGCUACCUGGGCCAACACUGACACUGAGGCACGAAAGCGUGGGGAGCAAACAGGAUUAGAUACCCGAGUAGUCC